GACGAACGCUGGCGGCGUGCUUAACACAUGCAAGUCGAACGGAAAGGCCCUGCUUGCAGGGUACUCGAGUGGCGAACGGGUGAGUAACACGUGGGUGAUCUGCCCUGCACUUCGGGAUAAGCCUGGGAAACUGGGUCUAAUACCGGAUAGGAGCCAAUUUUAGUGUGAUGGUUGGAAAGUUUUUUCGGUGUAGGAUGAGCUCGCGGCCUAUCAGCUUGUUGGUGGGAUAAUGGCCUACCAAGGCGGCGACCGGUAGCCGGCCUGAGAGGGUGGACGGCCACAUUGGGACUGCGAUACGGCCCAGACUCCUACGAAAGGCAGCAGUGAGGAUAAUUACACAAUGGGCACAAGCCUGAUGCAGCGACGCCGAGUGGGGGAUGACGGCCUUCGGGUUGUAAACUCCGUUCGCUAGGGACGAAGCUUUUUGUGACGGUACCUAGAUAAGAAACACCGGCUAACUCCGAG
RNAcentral lists this ribosomal RNA (465 nucleotides) under uncultured bacterium. RNAcentral describes it as "partial 16S ribosomal RNA". It matches the Rfam family "Bacterial small subunit ribosomal RNA", at positions 28 to 507 of the family's 1533-position model. The record is from RNAcentral.